UACGUAGGGGGCAAGCGUUGUCCGGAAUCAUUGGGCGUAAAGCGCGUGUAGGCGGCCUUGUAAGUCCGUUCUGAAAGCCCGGGGCUCAACCCCGGGAGGCGGAUGGAUACUGCAAGGCUCGAGUACGGAAGAGGCGAGUGGAAUUCCCGGUGUAGCGGUGAAACGCGCAGAUAUCGGGAGGAACACCAAUGGCGAAGGCAGCUCGCUGGGACGUUACUGACGCUGGAGACGCGAAAGCGUGGGGAGCAAACAGGG
RNAcentral lists this ribosomal RNA (255 nucleotides) under uncultured bacterium. RNAcentral's name for it is "partial 16S ribosomal RNA". It matches the Rfam family "Bacterial small subunit ribosomal RNA", at positions 524 to 777 of the family's 1533-position model. The record is from RNAcentral.